RNAcentral lists this ribosomal RNA (484 nucleotides) under uncultured bacterium. RNAcentral's name for it is "partial 16S ribosomal RNA". It matches the Rfam family "Bacterial small subunit ribosomal RNA", at positions 30 to 507 of the family's 1533-position model. The record is from RNAcentral.
AUUGAACGCUGGCGGCAGGCCUAAUACAUGCAAGUCGAGCGGAUGAAGGGAGCUCGCUCCUGGAUUCAGCGACGGACGGGUGAGUAAUGCCUAGGAAUCUGACUGGUAGUGGGGGAUAACGUCAGGUAACGGGCGCUAAUACCGCAUACGUCCUGAGGUAGAAAGGGGGGGAUCUUCAGACCUCACGCUAUUAGCUGACCCUAGGUCGGAUUAGCUAGUUGGUGGGGUAAAGGCUUACCAAGGCGACGAUCCGUAACUGGUCUGAGAGGAUGAUCAGCCACACUGGAACUGAGACACGGUCCAGACUCCUACGGGAGGCAGCAGUGGGGAAUAUUGGACAAUGGGCGAAAGCCUGAUCGAGCCAUGCCGCGUGUGUGAAGAAGGUCUUCGGAUUGUAAAGCACUUUAAGUUGGGAGGAAGAGCAGUAAGUGAAUAUCUUGAUGUCUUGACGUUACCAACAGAAUAAGCACCGGCUAACUUCGUG